Molecule: ribosomal RNA, 449 nt
Filed under: uncultured prokaryote
Description: bacterial SSU rRNA
Rfam family: Bacterial small subunit ribosomal RNA
Source: RNAcentral
UGGGGAAUAUUGGACAAUGGGCGCAAGCCUGAUCCAGCCAUGCCGCGUGUGUGAAGAAGGCCUUCGGGUUGUAAAGCACUUUUGUUGGGGAAGAAAAGAUCUCGGUUAAUAACCGGGGUUCAUGACGGUACCCAAAGAAUAAGCACCGGCUAACUUCGUGCCAGCAGCCGCGGUAAUACGAAGGGUGCAAGCGUUACUCGGAAUUACUGGGCGUAAAGCGUGCGUAGGCGGUUUGUUAAGUCUGUCGUGAAAGCCCCGGGCUCAACCUGGGAAUGGCGGUGGAUACUGGCAGGCUAGAGUGCGGUAGAGGGUGGUGGAAUUCCCGGUGUAGCAGUGAAAUGCGUAGAGAUCGGGAGGAACAUCUAUGGCGAAGGCAGCCACCUGGACCAGCACUGACGCUGAGGCACGAAAGCGUGGGGAGCAAACAGGAUUAGAUACCCCCGUAGUCC